GUUAUGUUCUUUAAAUUUAAAAAAUUUGGCGGUGUUUUARUCUAGUUAGAGGAACCUGUGUUAURAACGAUACAACACGUAUUAUUUUACUUAUUUUAGUAGAUCAGCUKGUAUACCGUCMUUAUAAGAUAAUUUAGGAGAGAAUAUUAUUGAGAUCAUAUUAWUGAGUAUAUUAGAUCAAGGUGCAGCUUAUGGGUAAGCAAACAUGGGUUACAAUMAAAUUUAUUUAAUAUGAAUUAAGUGUUUAAAUAUAUUUAUGAAGGAGGAUUUAAUUGUAAGGGGGGAGCAKUGAGCUUUUCUGAUAAAAGCUC
This 311-nucleotide ribosomal RNA is filed under the name Lacunicambarus chimera. RNAcentral describes it as "partial small subunit ribosomal RNA". The record is from RNAcentral. Lineage: Eukaryota; Metazoa; Arthropoda; Malacostraca; Decapoda; Cambaridae.